CCAGCACCUGCGGUAAUUCCAGCUCCACUAGCGUAUAUUAAAGUUGUUGCAGUUAAAAAGCUCGUAGUUGAACUUCUGAUUGUUGCUAGUGUCGGUAUUUAUAUCGCGCUAGUGGCAGUCAUCCGUCUGCAAACUUUUACAUCCUUAACUGGUUUGUCUAAGGGAGCAGGCAUUUUACUUUGAAAAAAUUAGAGUGUUUAAGGCAGGCGCAAGCCUGAAUACAUUAGCAUGGAAUAAUGGAAUAGGACGCUUGUCCAUUUGAUUGGUUAUUGGACUCGCGUAAUGAUUAAUAGGGACAGUUGGGGGCAUUAGUAUUCAAACGACAGAGGUGAAAUUCUUGGACCGUUUGAAGACAAACUACUGCGAAAGCAUUUGCCAAGAAUGUUUUCAUUAAUCAAGAACGAAAGU
RNAcentral lists this ribosomal RNA (408 nucleotides) under uncultured eukaryote. RNAcentral's name for it is "SSU rRNA". It matches the Rfam family "Eukaryotic small subunit ribosomal RNA", at positions 567 to 990 of the family's 1831-position model. The record is from RNAcentral.